AUGAUUCUUAUACAUUAUGUAUGUUUCUUUCCUGCAGAUACAUGUGCCAUCGUAGCUUCAGCCAAGUGCAUCGAAAUGGAACAUCGCCGGCUAUACGAGGAACAUCAUAAAAAGAAGUUCCCAUGUGUUGCUGCGUCUCCACGCAAGCUUCACCGCAGCUGUCGCCGGGAUGGUGUGUGGACACCUGAUGAAGGAGCAUCGGUGGAAUCGACAUGGGAUAGUUCGCCGAGAGUUCGGCGGCAUCGUCACAACCAACGCUCCCGUCCCUGCCCCGUACCUCCUGCCACUGGAAUCCUGGAAGAAGCAUACUUUUACCUCCGGUCGUCGGCUCACCAAGGAGCACAUCGCAGAUCUCAUCGACAUGGGAGGCUCCUUCAUUGCCACAAUCUGGACAUGCCCGUGGUACCAUAUGUUCAACUCGGAAGAAACAGAUCGGGUGGUCUACAAGUCUGGGUGCGCUCGUGA
Molecule: ribosomal RNA, 465 nt
Filed under: Triticum aestivum (bread wheat)
Lineage: Eukaryota; Viridiplantae; Streptophyta; Magnoliopsida; Poales; Poaceae
Description: partial small subunit ribosomal RNA
Source: RNAcentral